Molecule: long non-coding RNA, 802 nt
Organism: Trifolium pratense (red clover)
Lineage: Eukaryota; Viridiplantae; Streptophyta; Magnoliopsida; Fabales; Fabaceae
Exons: 3
Source: RefSeq, a predicted model, not a curated record
UCAAAUCACAAACUCAUAAAUCAUUCUCCAAACUCAAAAUCUCUCAAUCCCCAAAUUCUCUCUUUCUAUCUCUCUCACACUCCUUUGAAACACAACAUUCCUUUUUAACUCUAAAUUCAGAGAUAGUUUCUUGAUUAGGGUUCUUUGUUAUCACUAUCGCUACUUUAAUCUUUUAUUAUCACUAAUUCAUAAUCAAUUCAUUCUGCCCAAUUUCUUUUCUCUUUGCGACACUCUUUCCUUCUCCGUCAUUCAUCAUAACGCAACGCUAAAAAAACCUCACAACAGGUUCGUGUAACUCGCUCACUCGACUCGUUCGCGUAACUCGUUCUCUUCGGUUUCGAUUUUUUCAUCAUGCCGAAGGCUAAAGUUGAUUCCAAACCCGCUGAUAAGAGGGCACCACGAUGGGCUAGUGUGAACUUAGGAAUUUCAUUUGCAUGCAAUGUUCAGGGAUUCACCGGACUCUAGGAGUGCAUAUAUCAAAGGUGUAUAUACAUUUUUGUUCCUUCACAGUUUAGAAAUUUUAUAAUGGCUGAACCUUCUGAUUUUGUUACAAGGUGAGGUCCACAACUUUGGAUACAUGGUUGCCAGAACAAGUUUCUUUCAAGAAAUGAAGAAAAUAGAUGAGCAAAGCCGCUAAGGAUCCUACCAAACCGAAGUAGUUACAAAGGAUAUAAUCCCAUCUUGAAUUGUGGUUCGUUAUAAUAAAUCACUGCUUAAACUUAGUGUAGACAACUACUUAUUUGUCUAUCAACUUUAUAUAAUCAAACCUUUAUUUUCUUUUUUUACUUUUUGUCGUAUGAUA